UGCUGGCGUUUGCAGUCGGCUCAGCUGAAUUGUACGAGUUGCCCCAUUUGAAAGUGAACGGCUUGACUCGGUGUAAUAAUUAUUUCGCUGGGGACGUUCUAUAUUUUUAAUAAAGAGGUGCUUCUAAUUAAAUAGUGUUUAUACUUUAGACCUCAAAUCAGAUAGGAUUACCCGCUGAACUUAAGCAUAUCAAUAAGCGGAGGAAAAGAAACUAACAAGGAUUCCCCUAGUAACGGCGAGUGAAGUGGGAAAAGCUCAACUUUGUAAUCUGGCAGCUUCGCUGUCCGACUUGUAGUCUCGAGAAGUGUUUUCCGCGCUGGAUCGUGUAUGAGUCUGUUGGAAUACAGCGUCAUAGAGGGUGAGAACCCCGUUCAUGACACGCCUACCAGUGCUUUGUGAUACACUUUCGAUGAGUCGAGUUGUUUGGGAAUGCAGCUCAAAAUGGGUGGUAAAUUCCAUCUAAAGCUAAAUAUUGGUGAGAGACCGAUAGCAAACAAGUACCGUGAGGGAAAGAUGAAAAGCACUUUGGAAAGAGAGUUAAAAGUACGUGAAAUUGUUGAAAGGGAAACGCUUGAAGUCAGACGUGCGCGGUAUUUAUACCACUGCAGGCCAGCAUCGGUUUUACUAGCCGGAUAAAGGUGUGAGGAAGGUGGCAGUCUCGGCUGUGUUAUAGCCUUAUACUGAAUACGGAAGGCGAGACCGAG
Molecule: ribosomal RNA, 704 nt
Filed under: uncultured Cyphobasidiales
Lineage: Eukaryota; Fungi; Basidiomycota; Cystobasidiomycetes; Cyphobasidiales
Description: eukaryotic LSU rRNA
Rfam family: Eukaryotic large subunit ribosomal RNA (bases 148-704)
Source: RNAcentral